Molecule: long non-coding RNA, 1671 nt
Organism: Papio anubis (olive baboon)
Lineage: Eukaryota; Metazoa; Chordata; Mammalia; Primates; Cercopithecidae
Source: Ensembl
CUGAAGGCUAAGAAGUCCAAGAUCAAGAUGCCAGCUGACUCAGUGUCUGAUGAGGGCCCUCUUCCUAGUUUUCAGAUGGUCAACUUCUUACUGUAUCCUCACAUGAUGGAGAGAGGAAGCUUAUAAGAAUGCUAACAUUAUGGCAGCUUUAUUCUCAUGACCUCAUCUAAACCUAAUUACCUCUCAAAGGCCCCAUUUCCCAAUGCCAUCACAUUGGAGUAUAGGGUUUCAACAUAUACAUUUGGGAGGAUACAGCAUUCGGUCAAUAAUCUUUCUCCUUGCUUUCCUCUUUUAGACUCUUACUGUAGAUGAGCUUCCUUAAUGUAGCAGGAUAUGACUGCCAAUAUCCUGGGCAUAUGCCUGUACAGCUUUUAACUGUCCUAUAGAGAUUACACUGGCACAUACUUUGCUAAUGUCAUAUAGUAUACAUUUAAAAUAGAGUUUUUUGGAAAAAAAGAUAAAUGAAGCAUACCCAAUUCCCCGAACUCCCGUUAUUCCACAGAGAAUUGUGCUUAGGCCAAGUAUAUCUGAUGGUAAAGAUAGACUCUGGUAGAAAGGUCACAUCCUCCGGAGUCUCUCUCUCUCUCUCUCUCUCUCUCUCUUUCUCUCUCUCUCUCUCUCUCUAUAUAUAUAUAUGUUUUUUUUUUUUUUUUAAAGCGGAGUCCUGCUUUGUCGUCCAGGCCGGAGUGCAAUGGCAUGAUCUCAGCUCACUGCAACUUCCGCCUCCCGGGUUCAAGCAAUUCUCCUGUCUCAGCCUCGUCUGGGUCCCAGACCCAAAGACUGCUCCUCCAAACUCAGAGAUACCAACACCAGCAAAGCAGCUCCUCUUCUUCAGUACAGAUGCUUCUCAACGUACAAUGAGGUUGUAUCCUUACAAACACAUGGUAAGUUGAAAAUAUCGUUAAGUCAAAAAUGCAUUUUAAUAGUUCAAUAAAUCCAUAGUAAAGUUGAAAAGUUGUAAGAAAAUCCAAGGCAAGUAGAGGACUGUCUGUAGUCCAUGUUUCAACUCUUGGGACCCAUCCUCUAAGUUUCUACAUUUUAAUUAUUCUAGCCUCUUCCCUUUGUUCCUUUAGCUAUAAGGAUGAUAGCUACUUUCUACAGUUGCUACCUCCAUAAUACCUUACAGCUCUCUUUUGAUCCUUCCAGUUUCUUUGUUAACAAUAUAUUUAUAUAAAAUAAUCCUGUUCAAUAACUGGCACAGUUUCUUUCUUUUGAGUAGACCCUGAUACACCCUUCAAAAUUUAUUUGUAAAAGUUCAAGGUAGGAUUCUAGUAGCUCAGGCUCAGGUCAUAUAUCUCCCUCUCUGCUAUUUGCUAUGUAUGAUCCAGUGGAACUAUGAUUGACAUAACCUAGGCCAAAUGCUCGGGUGUGUGGCUGAGAUGAGGGACACUAUGAUUGAUAGUUUCAGAAGGAUCAUUUGGAUUUAGAGAAAUUCUCCAAAGAAACAGAUUGCUGUCUCCAGAAUAAGAGGGAUGAAAUGCCUGCUGGGGUGGGGGGCUUCGGCUACCACAGGUAGCUAACAUAGCACUGCCUCUCUACCUAUAAGUACAUAUGUUUAUUAAUGGGUCCAAAUUAGUAAGGUAUAAACAUGAUAUUAUGUUCUACUCUAGUCAUUCCUUUUAGCCAUAUCCUGCAAUAUAUUUUAUUAUCCCUGAAAAUAUAUUCAGCAGA